This 1196-nucleotide long non-coding RNA is filed under the name Scleropages formosus (Asian bonytongue). RNAcentral's name for it is "lncRNA (ENSSFOG00015026537.1)". The record is from RNAcentral. Lineage: Eukaryota; Metazoa; Chordata; Actinopteri; Osteoglossiformes; Osteoglossidae.
GAUGAAAGUAAAUCUAAAUGUUAGUAGCAAUGAACAAAGUUAGUUAACAGACUUCUUGUUCCAGCUUUGUUCAUGAGUUGAGGAUAUGCAAUAUAUGGUCUGUAAUUUUGUAAUAUCUAAGGAUAUGAAUGUACCAGCAUUUUCUCACUUACAGGACUUGUUCAAGUCAUUUGCCCGCUUCCUGUCUCACCUGCUGGCAAAAAGAAGGAAUUGUGGGAGGAGCCAAGUGAAAGCCGAAGCUGGACGCAUAAUCGAGAAGUUCUUCAGUAAAGUCCAACUCUGCAAGAGUGAGUCUGACUGGCUACCUCUGAGUAGGUCCACCUGCAUCAACAGUGAGAGCAGUUUGGAAACAGGACAGAACCAAAGUCACGGGCCACAUCCCUUCUAGCUCCUCUCAUCCAACAUCAAAUUCCUGAAUUUUCCCCAUAUUCCUGAAUCCAGAAUGCUGUUUCCUUGUCACAAGUUCUUGCUGCUCUGCCCCCUUCCUUUCUUACUCCUAAAACUGAAGGACAGCCCUUAUAUAGACUUUAGCAAACAAGAGGUAGUCAGAAGUGGGGCAGAUACAGCUUCUGGCACUGAUGCUAUGUCCACAGGAGUUCUAAUGCAAUGCGACAGUGUGCAUAAAUUUACAGAAGCAGGUUUCACUGCAUGGAGCUGCAAGUUCCUACAGAAGGGAAGUCGAUGUGCUCAGAUGGCCCCUUCUUUCUAGUUGCUAACAGCGGUGGGCUUUCUGUGCAUCUCAACUGGAUUCAAAUGCAAAUAGUAUACAUGAAAUGGGGUGUCAUUCAGCUAGCUGGGCAUGAAGAAUUUCUCUGACUUUGUUUUUUAUAUUUUAUUUUCUUUAGAUGAAUUAGUUUUUUUUCUUUUUCUCAGGGAAGUUACAUUUUUGUUACAACUACAGUAUAUGAAAAAUAUAGGCUCUUAAUUUUGUUUUAUUAGCUCACUUUUUGUGUUUAAAAGUAUAGUAACGUAGAUGCAUUGCCAUACUGCUGCAUUGGUAUUAUCAGGGAGAGCUGCUGUGUUUAUGUGAACAUUAAUGCUGCUGGAUGGCCUUUUCUCCAACCCAAAGAGUAUUAGGCUGUUGUAAUACAAUGGUUACAGGGAACAUUGAUUAAAAAGUGGUUUGAUAUACAUGCUGUUUCUUAAUUAUAAAAAAGUAAGAACCAGUUGUCUAAUAAAAAUGACACUUGAAUGCA